GGCCAGACUCCUACGGGAGGCAGCAGUGGGGAAUAUUGGACAAUGGGGGGAACCCUGAUCCAGCGACGCCGCGUGAGUGAAGAAGUAAUUCGUUAUGUAAAGCUCUAUCAGCAGGGAAGAAAAUGACGGUACCUGAAGAAGAGGCCCCGGCUAACUACGUGCCAGCAGCCGCGGUAAUACGUAGGGGGCAAGCGUUAUCCGGAUUUACUGGGUGUAAAGGGGGCGCAGACGGCGAUGCAAGCCAGGAGUGAAAGCCCGGGGCCCAACCCCGGGACUGCUCUUGGAACUGCGUGGCUAGAGUGCAGGAGGGGCAGGCGGAAUUCCUGGUGUAGCGGUGAAAUGCGUAGAUAUCAGGAGGAACACCGGUGGCGAAGGCGGCCUGCUGGACUGCAACUGACGUUGAGGCCCGAAAGCGUGGGGAGCAAACAGGAUUAGAUACCCCAGUAUC
This 448-nucleotide ribosomal RNA is filed under the name uncultured bacterium. RNAcentral describes it as "bacterial SSU rRNA". It matches the Rfam family "Bacterial small subunit ribosomal RNA", at positions 329 to 794 of the family's 1533-position model. The record is from RNAcentral.